This 400-nucleotide ribosomal RNA is filed under the name uncultured bacterium. RNAcentral's name for it is "bacterial SSU rRNA". It matches the Rfam family "Bacterial small subunit ribosomal RNA", at positions 357 to 774 of the family's 1533-position model. The record is from RNAcentral.
AGGAAUAUUGGGCAAUGCCCGCAAGGGUGACCCAGCAACGCCGCGUGGGCGAUGAAGGCCUUCGGGUCGUAAAGCCCUUUUUGAGGGGAUGGGAAGGACAGUACCCUCAGAAUAAGCCUCGGCUAACUACGUGCCAGCAGCCGCGGUAAAACGUAGGAGGCGAGCGUUAUCCGGAUUUACUGGGCGUAAAGCGCGUGCAGGCGGAUUGGAGAGUUGGAUGUGAAAGCUCCCGGCUUAACUGGGAGAGGUCGUUCAAUACUUCCAGUCUUGAGUGCAGUAGAGNGAAGUGGAAUUCCGGGUGUAGUGGUGAAAUGCGUAGAUAUCCGGAGGAACACCAGUGGCGAAAGCGGCUUCCUGGACUGUAACUGACGCUCAGACGCGAAAGCUAGGGUAGCAAACG